RNAcentral lists this ribosomal RNA (575 nucleotides) under uncultured bacterium. Its description in RNAcentral is "partial 16S ribosomal RNA". It matches the Rfam family "Bacterial small subunit ribosomal RNA", at positions 355 to 920 of the family's 1533-position model. The record is from RNAcentral.
UGGGGAAUUUUGGACAAUGGGCGCAAGCCUGAUCCAGCCAUGCCGCGUGCGGGAAGAAGGCCUUCGGGUUGUAAACCGCUUUUGUCAGGGAAGAAAUCUUCUGAGUUAAUACCUCGGGAGGAUGACGGUACCUGAAGAAUAAGCACCGGCUAACUACGUGCCAGCAGCCGCGGUAAUACGUAGGGUGCAAGCGUUAAUCGGAAUUACUGGGCGUAAAGCGUGCGCAGGCGGUUUUGUAAGACAGAGGUGAAAUCCCCGGGCUCAACCUGGGAACUGCCUUUGUGACUGCAAGGCUUGAGUGCGGCAGAGGGGGGAUGGAAUUCCGCGUGUAGCAGUGAAAUGCGUAGAUAUGCGGAGGAACACCGAUGGCGAAGGCAAUCCCCUGGGCCUGCACUGACGCUCAUGCACGAAAGCGUGGGGAGCAAACAGGAUUAGAUAGCCCUGGUAGUCCACGCCCUAAAACGAUGUCAACUGGUUGUUGGGAAGGUUCCUCCUCAGUAACGUAGCUAACGCGUGAAGUUGACCGCCUGGGGAGUACGGCCGCAAGGUUGAAACUUAAAGGAAUUGACGGGGGC